AGUCGAACGAUGAAGCCCAGCUUGCUGGGUGGAUUAGUGGCGAACGGGUGAGUAACACGUGAGUAACCUGCCCUUAACUCUGGGAUAAGCCUGGGAAACUAGGUCUAAUACCGGAUAGGAGCGCCUACCGCAUGGUGGGUGUUGGAAAGAUUUAUCGGUUUUGGAUGGACUCGCGGCCUAUCAGCUUGUUGGUGAGGUAAUGGCUCACCAAGGCGACGACGGGUAGCCGGCCUGAGAGGGUGACCGGCCACACUGGGACUGAGACACNAAANGGCCCAGACUCCUACGGGAGGCAGCAGUGGGGAAUAUUGCACAAUGGGCGAAAGCCUGAUGCAGCGACGCCGCGUGAGGGAUGACGGCCUUCGGGUUGUAAACCUCUUUCAGUAGGGAAGAAGCGAAAGUGACGGUACCUGCAGAAGAAGCACCGGCUAACUACGUGCCAGCAGCCGCGGUAAUACGUAGGGUGCGAGCGUUAUCCGGAAUUAUUGGGCGUAAAGAGCUCGUAGGCGGUUUGUCGCGUCUGUCGUGAAAGUCCGGGGCUUAACCCCGGAUCUGCGGUGGGUACGGGCAGACUAGAGUGCAGGGGAGACUGGAAUUCCUGGUGUAGCGGUGGAAUGCGCAGAUAUCAGGAGGAACACCGAUGGCGAAGGCAGGUCUCUGGGCUGUAACUGACGCUGAGGAGCGAAAGCAUGGGGAGCGAACAGGAUUAGAUACCCUGGUAGUCCAUGCCGUAAACGUUGGGCACUAGGUGUGGGGACCAUUCCACGGUUUCCGCGCCGCAGCUAACGCAUUAAGUGCCCCGCCUGGGGAGUACGGCCGCAAGGCUAAAACUCAAAGGAAUUGACGGGGGCCCGCACAAGCGGCGGAGCAUGCGGAUUAAUUCGAUGCAACGCGAAGAGCGUUACCAAGGCUUGACAUUUCUCGAUCGCCG
RNAcentral lists this ribosomal RNA (931 nucleotides) under Micrococcus luteus. RNAcentral's name for it is "bacterial SSU rRNA". It matches the Rfam family "Bacterial small subunit ribosomal RNA", at positions 60 to 1000 of the family's 1533-position model. The record is from RNAcentral. Lineage: Bacteria; Bacillati; Actinomycetota; Actinomycetes; Micrococcales; Micrococcaceae.